GCCGAUGUGGUGGAAUGGCAGACACAGUAGACUCAAAAUCUACCGCAGCAAUGUGUGCGGGUUCAAGUCCCGCCAUCGGCACCA
Molecule: transfer RNA, 84 nt
Filed under: Hominimerdicola alba
Lineage: Bacteria; Bacillati; Bacillota; Clostridia; Eubacteriales; Oscillospiraceae
Also listed under: 1 other name
Description: Ruminococcus albus tRNA_Leu_CAA
Rfam family: tRNA
About the family: Transfer RNA (tRNA) molecules are approximately 80 nucleotides in length.
Source: RNAcentral